RNAcentral lists this ribosomal RNA (253 nucleotides) under uncultured bacterium. Its description in RNAcentral is "partial 16S ribosomal RNA". It matches the Rfam family "Bacterial small subunit ribosomal RNA", at positions 524 to 776 of the family's 1533-position model. The record is from RNAcentral.
UACGUAGGGUGCAAGCGUUAAUCGGAAUUACUGGGCGUACAGCGUGCGCAGGCGGUUUUGUAAGUCUGAUGUGAAAUCCCCGGGCUCAACCUGGGAAUUGCAUUGGAGACUGCAAGGCUAGAAUCUGGCAGAGGGGGGUAGAAUUCCACGUGUAGCAGUGAAAUGCGUAGAGAUGUGGAGGAACACCGAUGGCGAAGGCAGCCCCCUGGGUCAAGAUUGACGCUCAUGCACGAAAGCGUGGGGAGCAAACAGG